This 5888-nucleotide long non-coding RNA is filed under the name Homo sapiens (human). RNAcentral's name for it is "HSALNT0225786". The record is from RNAcentral. Lineage: Eukaryota; Metazoa; Chordata; Mammalia; Primates; Hominidae.
GAAAAAUUGUAUGUUGAUGGGUUUUUUGCUUUGUUUUCUUUUGUUAUUUUAAUACUUUGAGGAUGUUGCUGUACCAUCUUCUCACUUGCAGUUCCAGAUGAGAAAUGUGCUAGAAUCCUCACUUUGUUCCUCUGUACAAUAAGGUGUCUUUCUUCCUUUGGCUGCUUUAAGAGUUUCUCUUUUUUAUUUUUUAUUUAUUUAUUUAUUUUGAGACAUAGUCUCCCUCUCUCCCUCUGUUGCCCAGGCUUGAGUGCAGUGGUGUGAUCUUGGCUCACUGCAACCUCUGCCUCCCAGGCUCAAGCGAUUCUUGUGCCUCAGCCUCCCAAGUAGCUGGGAUUACGGGUGUGCGCCAUCAUGCCUGGCUAUUUUUUAAUUUGUAGUAGAGAUGGGGUUUUGCCAUGUUGGCCAGGCUGCUCUCAAGCUCCUGACCUCAAAUGAUCCGCUCACCUUGGCCUCCCAAAGUGCUGGAAUUACAGGCGUGAGCCACGGCGCCCGGCCCAAGAAUUUCUCUUUACCAUUGGUUUGAAGCAAUUUGAUUGUAAUAUGCCUUGGUUUUCUUCACCUGUUUAUUUUUUAUGUUUUAAAUUUUGGAGACAGGGUCUUGUUCUGUCACCUAGGCUGGUGCAAAGCUCACUGCAGCCUCGAACUCCCAGGCACAAGUGAUCUUCCUGCCUCAGUCUCCCAAGUAGCUAGGACUACAGGUGGACGCCACCAUGUCUGGCUAAUUUUUUUUAUUUUUUUGUAGAAAUGAGUUCUCGCUUUGUUGCCCAGGCUAAUCUUGAAUUCCUGGCCUCAAGUGAUCCUUCCACCUCAGCCUCCCGAACUGCUGGGAUUACAGGCAUGAGCCACCAUGCCCAGCCUUCUUCACAUUUCUUGUACUUGGGGGUUAAUUGAGUGUUUUGAAUUUAUAGUGUGAGUUUAUAUUUUUCAUCAGCUUUGAAAAAAUUGAGGGUAUUAUUUCUUCAAUUAUUUUUUCUGCUCUCUCCUCCUUUGGAGACUUCAAUUACACAUAUAGUAGACCACAUGAAAUUGUUCCACAGUUCACUGAAUCUCUGUUAAUCGUUUUUUUAUUCUAUUUUUUCUUCUGUGUUUCAUUUUGGAUAGUUGCUGUUGCCAUGUCUUCAAGUUCACUAAACUUUUCUUCUGCAGCAUAAAUCCUGUCCCAACUACUUUUCAUCUCAGACAUGGUAGUUUUCAUCUCUUAAUUCAUGUGUGUGUGUGUGUGUGUGUGUGUAAUAUCUACCAUAUAUCUACUUAACAUGUUUAAUCUUUAUCUUCUGGUACACACGAAAUACAAUUAUAAUUACUAUAUUUAUGUCCUUGGCUAGCAACUACAUCAUCUGUGUUAUUUUGGGGCCAGUUUCUAUUGAUUAAUUUUUUUCUCAUCAUGGGUCAUAGUUUUCUGCUGUUUUGCACGCCUGGUAAUUCUGAGAUACCAGCAUUAUCAAUUUUACAUUUUUAAGUGUUGGACACUUUUGUAUUCCUACUUCUAUUCAUAUUCUUGAGUUUUAUCCUGAAGUUCAGUUAAGGUACUUGGGUCCAGUUUGCUUCUUUCAGAUUUUACUUUCAAGUUUUGACAGGAGGGCCCAGAAUAGCAUUUAGUCUAGGGUUAACUUUUUCCCCAUUACUGAGGUAGAAUCUGUGACCACUGAACUGUGAACCCUUCCCUGCUCAGGCUGAUUUCCAGCGUUGCUCCCUGUAAUCCUUUCAGGGGCUUCUUUCUUCAGCCGUGGGUAGUUUUCUCUUAUGCAUGUGCUGAUCCGUCCAUAGCUGAAGACUUACAGGGACUUCCUUGAAGAUCUCCAGAACUCUUUCUCUUUGCAGCUCUUUCUUCUUUGAUACUAUGUCUUGCAAACUCUAGCCACCUCUGUCUCUCAGACUUCCAACUGAAGUCUUCUUAACCAGGGGAGACUAGCAGGCUCCAGCUGGGUUCCCCUGCCUGCACUCAUGCCUGGAAACUGUCUUCUGGCUGUACACUUUGGCAAUGGUAGGCUUCCCUUUAUUCAUUUCCCAGCUCUCAUGGAUCACUACACUUUGUUAGCUGAUUUCCAAUGUUUUGAAAAUAGUUGUUUUGUAUAUUUGGUGCAGAUUUUAAGUUAUAUUGAUGGAGAGUCUCUGACCCAUUAUCCCAUCUCGCCUGGCAGCCGAAGUCUUCAGAGGUAAUCAAGUACCAAAGAUUUAGUCUAAUGUUGAAUGUGGAUGAAAAAGGAAGUACCAUAUUUUUAUUUUAAUGCAGUCAUUCUUAAAUGUUUUUAUGCUGCAGAUCCUCUGGCCAUCUUGUGAAACCUAUGGAUUACUUUUGAGAAUGUUUGGAAAUGCACAAGGUAAAAUACAGAGGACUACAGUGGAAAUCAUUAUAGUGGAUGUAGUUAUUAGAAUAUUUUUCUAAGUGAAUUUGUGCCAUAGUAAUAGAUGUGUUUCUUAAUUAAUGCAUUGAAUAACAAGACCUAAUAGUGGGUCUAAUGAGUUCUGUAAUUUUCAAGCAGUAAUAAGCAUAAGCAUUAUUUUGAGAUAUUUACAACAAGGUAAUGUAAUUUAAAUAUAUCACUACUUCCCAUUGCUGACAACGUCAGGGUACUAUUGAUGUUACUGUGGUUUGUUGCCAACAUACAUUACAGAAGGCAAUGCUAAAUUUCAGUCAUAGGUUAAUAAAAAUAAACAUCCAAUUGCUCUUUCACCCAAGAUCAAAGACCCCUGAAUUCUGUCCACAGACCCCUGAGAAGUCCGUGGGUCCAGGAUAAGAACCCCUAUUAAUGAAUGGAAACUGGAGUGCCUGGGAGUUGUGAGUCUUACACAAUUGGCUAAGCUUGUGAACUGACAAUGAUUUUGUCUGAAUCUACCUUGGGAAUGUGAGAUGCCAUGAGGAUAAUUUUGGCGUGGGUUGGGGGGAUAGCAUUUACAAGACAACUGGGAGUGUCCUUCAUGCCAAGAUGGGUCUCCCUACUGUGGUUCCCCACCAAGCAAGUUUGCCCCCACUGCUGAGGAGUCCACCUGUCAAAUGGCUUCUUGCCCAACUCCCAGCCUGAAGCUCAAGAUUCAUCACUCAAAACUGACAAAUUGGGCAGGUCUGAUGUUUAUUUUUGCCUCUGGUCCUUUGGCCAGGCCACACACUCUUGGAUUUCUGAAUAUGCAGUUCUGUUCCUAACCAGUGUGUCCCAACCAGAAAGUCACUGUAAUUUUUGGUUUUGUUCCCAAUCUCCCUCCAAAUGUCAUUAGUCAUAUCCUCCUUCCCAUUUCUGCCUUGAAUAGGCAGUCAUUAUGAUGAAGCCAGGCUUGUUUCAGAAUUCCAUGAGAACCACAGUGUCAGGCUGUGACAACUCUGGGGCUGGAAAUGGAAAAGGCUGUGAUCUGGGGUUGGCUGGCACCGUCCCCGUGAGUCAUUAUGGAAACACUGUCCCCGGAUUCUGCUGAGAGGACUGGGUUGCUGGUGAGUCCAUCUGUCAGAUGAGAUCCUGACCCCCUGACACCUUAAAACGUUCCAUAAUAUGUGGGAUGUUGGGCCUUCUGUCUGGUAUCCUGGCUACAUUAAAAUUUGGGUUGUUUUAUUCUAUUUUUGGUUCCCUUGCAGUUUCCAAUGUGUUAAAAAACAAAAUACAAUUUUUUUCAGAUUACAAAAAUAAUACAUAUUCAUUGUACAGAAAUUGAAAAAGGCAGAAAAACAUACAGAAGGAAAUUCUACCACCCAGAGAUAAGGAUUUUUUAAAAUGUUGCAUUUGCUUUCAGAUGCUAUUUAGAUUAUAGUUUAUAAAAUACUUUUGUAAGCUGUGUGCUUUUUAAAACUCUAACAGUAUAGCUCACACAGUCUGCCUUAUAAAAAGCACAAAUUCUAUCAUUUUUUUCUCUGGAGGAGGCCUUAUAUAAGACCAUCUAGUCUAACACACUCUUUGUAAAAAUGAGGCAACUGUGAUCCCAAGAGGGUAAGUAACUUGCUCAGGGCUCCCCAGCGUAUGAGCCACAGAGUCAGGAAUGGGAGUAUGGAUCUUGUCUCAGCAUCCUGCUGCCUCGUGACCUGCCCAUGUGCUGUCAGUGUACAUCUUCAGACAAGAGCUGAAAGCACUCCGGCCUCUCUGCCUCUUGACCCGGAGGAAAUGUAGAUGAGUUCCCAGGCUUACUGAAUAGGACAUUUGCCCCUGCUUUAGACCUUGAGUUAGGGAACUAUUUAACAUCUUUGAAAUUUUCAUUCCCUAGGGGAAAGCUUAAAAUUUGAGGAAAAACAAAAGGCUCUUUCCCAUGCAAAAAUUAUUUUUGGUUAUCAUUUGGAAAAGAAAAAUAGGCAUUACUAACAACUUAAUGACUUCACUAAUAUACCUGCCUUUAAACUUAAGAAUAGUUAUUUAAUAAAGUUUAUAAACUCUACUAAAGUACGUACACAAUAGUAUGUAUAUUUUAUAAUAUGUGUAUUUCCAGGAAAUGUGAAUUCACCCCAGAAAGUAAGGAGGCUGCCUGUAUGGUAUGGGAUGGGAUGGGAUGGGAUGGGAUGGGAUGGGAUGGUAUUAGUAUGGGAUGGUAUGGUAUGGGAUGGGAUGGGAUGGGAUAGUAUUAGUAUGGGAUGGGAUGGUAUGGUAUGGGAUGGGAUGGCAUUAGUAUGGGAUGGUAUGGUAUGGUAUGGGAUGGCCUAGUAACCGUAUGGUAUGGCCUGGCAUAGUAUGGCAUGGCAUGUUAAGGUAAUGGCAUGCUAUGGUAUGAUAAUGGUAUGGUGUGGUGUGGUAUGGCAUGGGAUGGUAUGGGAUGGUAAUGGUAUGGUAUGGUAUAGUGUAUAGUAUAGUCUGGUGUAUAGUGUAGUGUUGUUAUAUUGAUAGUAUAGCAUAGUAUAAUAUAGUAAAAUGACUGUAAUUCAGAUUUAGGUGGUCUUGGAUUUAAAUCCUAUCUCAGCACCUACCUGGUUGUGUAAUCUUGGAAACUGAGCCUCUUUGAGCUUUAUUUCAUUAUCUGUAAAAUGAAAAUAGUAAUAGCAGUUAUCCCAAGAUAUAGAUACAAUAAAUAAAACAAUGCAUUCCCAUUUCCUUUUUAGAAGAAAGUAAAGAAAAGCUGUGAUGAGAGGAGCAGGGAUAAGGCCUCCCCCUAAGUAUGGGUGCCAAUUCCAAAAGAAGGAACUGCUGAGAGCCACACUGCCACCCCAACUGAAUACACAAGGACAUGAACAACAGGAUGUGUUAACUUCAAGGACAAAUAAUAGGGUCAGACUUCAAGUAGAACAUGGUUGAGUAAAUCAACAUCUUUCACCUUGUCCUCCAGAGAAUCCUACAAAAGCAGCAAGGAGAAUGAAAAACACCCUACAUACUCCACUUUCAGUGAAAUCAAGAUAGCUAGAUAUUAUAUGCAGACUCUAAAAUUUGUGCAAGGAAUGUCAAGGCGGCUGAUAUUAAGCAAAAGCUAUAAGAAGAAUAUAAAGAAAAAGGUUCAGAGAGCAGCUAGAUGGCCCAGGGUGGGGGUGGGGGUAGCAGAGUUGAAAGUGCCAAUAAAAAUAGGUAAGAGGCUCUACUCGACGUGUACAUAUGUGUCUCCUGUUUUCAGUUAAAAAAAAGCAAGAAGUAUAGUAAGCAAAGCUGGGCAGCAGAAACACUCUUGGAUGGGUCAUAUGAUACAAAAAAGCAAAAAAGGUGGAGCUGCUCAAAGAAUCACAAAGAUGCGCCUUAUCUGCAAGAAACAGUCUGUCUCUGUGGCAGAGCAGAGAAGAAGAAAUUCUGUGAGUUGUAAAAUUUAGAAGGUUAUAUUGUCUCCAGUCCACCUCUCCAUACCACUCCCCUGCCGGAAACCUUUUGAUCCGGGGAAACCCAAGUCAUUCAAGAUGAAUAAUUUUUAAAAUGAACUACCCAAACACAAAUUUAAAGAUACCUGCUUUUAUAUCUUGCUGAAAAAAUCAGCAAGAUUUGCCAAGAAAUAAAGAA